Molecule: long non-coding RNA, 755 nt
Organism: Photinus pyralis (common eastern firefly)
Lineage: Eukaryota; Metazoa; Arthropoda; Insecta; Coleoptera; Lampyridae
Exons: 2
Source: RefSeq, a predicted model, not a curated record
UGUUAAUUUAAAUUUCGAUAAUAUCGUUUCCUAUAUUUUGUGGUAAAAUUAACCUCAAAUAGUUAUUUACUUUUUUCAUUAUUAAAAUGAACAUUUUUUUGUAAUUCUUCUUGCUCUUACAAGUUCAAAAUAAGAAAAUGGAAUUUCAAUUGAAAGCUUCAUUCAUGGAAUCGUCGCAAGUUCGGUCUGGCUUUUGGGUAAAAUCGAGGGUAAAAUGGAACUUAUCGCUCUGGUUCAGCCGAUCCGAAGAAGGAAGAAGGAGAAAAGGGAGUUUGAAAUGUAAAGCUAGGUCUGGACAUUACUGUUGAAAGAGAUAUGCAGUGCUCAUAUAGCAGUUAGCAUAAUUAAGACUCACUUUACAUUACCAGAUCAAAAGUCUUGGGUUACUUUCGAAGUGCAAUUGAUGGUAAACUGAAUCCAAUACAAAAAGUUCCAUAAGAAACUUGAGAUAAGUACUAACGGAAGAUCCUUGUAGGUAGAUUUACAAAAGCGGACACAUUCUGCCAAGGGGGACAAGAAACGUUAAAGUUGCUUACAAAUGCGUAGCAGAUAUUCAGUGAUCAGGACAUUCCAUUCAUCACAAGAAGCAAACGAAUAUUAUUCGAUGUUGUAGUAUCAAUUUUGUUUAUCCGUAGUAUAAGGUUAUGCAUGCACAAAUUCGCUUAUGCUUUUUUAGAGAUGUAUAUUCCUUAGAUGUAAAUUUCAUAUUAUUCCAAGAGGUUCGAAUUUGGCAAAUAAACAGUCUGUGUAAUGUU